Oryza nivara is the source of this 204-nucleotide non-coding RNA. The record is from Rfam. Lineage: Eukaryota; Viridiplantae; Streptophyta; Magnoliopsida; Poales; Poaceae.
AAAAAGACAAACCUGAUUUCCGUGUCUAAUAUUUGACCAUCCGUUUUAUUUAAAAAAAAUAUGAAAAAAAUUAAAAAGACAAGUCACGUAUAAAAUAUUAAUUAUGUUUUAUCAUCUAACAACAAUGAAAAUACAAAUUAUAAAAAAAUUUCAUAUAAGAUGGACAGUUAAAAUUAGACAUGGAAACGCAGGGUUUGAUUUUUU